Long non-coding RNA from Apis laboriosa (Himalayan honeybee), 2637 nucleotides. RefSeq lists it as uncharacterized. The record is from RefSeq and is a predicted model, not a curated record. The transcript has 3 exons. Lineage: Eukaryota; Metazoa; Arthropoda; Insecta; Hymenoptera; Apidae.
UCACCGCAAUCCUAAACUUAUUCCGAUACACAUUAUCCUAUUCUCGAAAGUGUUAAUCAAUUAACCUAAAACCUUUCCUUCAUUGUCCAAACAAUAAAUUACACGCACAAGAAGGGCAACGCGAUCCAACGCGAGAAAAGUAUCCGUCAAACUUUUCCAUGUCGAUAUUGCCCGCUCUCGAAUCGAAUUCCAAUUUCCAGGGUAAAAGAACAAACUACGCCACGCGUUGAUGAAACGAGGACGCACACGUUGGUUAAUCGACACUGUGUUGCCUCCCCCCUGUUCACGUCCCGUCCCUGAGGGACGUCGUGUCGUUGGACGAUCUCGCUCGUGAUUCUCCGCUCGUUGGCCAACGACGGAGCACGUGUUUUCUGGGUCACGGUACAAGAUGCCGGACUCGUUAUUUCCGCGAAGCGACGCGCUAUUUUCAGUCAGCUGCCUCUUCGGAUACGUGGGCACCGGAACGGGUCCUUUCCCUCCCUCCCCGUCCACCAUUGACGACUGGAAAUAAACCGUUUCUCCUCGGCCAGGCUAACAAUGGAAACGGGUUUUCAUUCAAAACUAUUGCACUCGAGUCCCCUUCUCGUUGCCCUCUCGUCUUAAACCACUGUGGGGAUACUAUCGCGGAGAAUCGUGGAUGGGGGCGCCACCAAUUAGGCGACAUGAAAGUUCAAAGGAUCGUUAAUCGCGGUAUCUUCUCUUCUCAAGAGUUCUGAUUCUUGAUUAUCUUUCAGUAUCGACGAUAGAUGUCACCUAUAGGAGGAUGGAAACAAUGGAAUUUAUAAUAAUAACAGGAAGAAAGAGGCUUUGAAUCUUUUUUUUUUUUUUUUUUUUCUUUAUCCGAGUCGGUCCACGACUCGGCAGAAUGCUUCCAUUGCUGUUUUGAAGUACUCGGUCGGUAUUAACGAGUGGAUCCGAGGAUUCGUUUUUUCAAUGUGUUACACGGAAGUAUGUGGUCGUAUCGAGGAUUAAAAUGAGAUUAAUGUUUGGAGUUGAGAGAGGGAUAGCGAUGUCGAACGGAAAUAAGAUCUGCCAGUGGUGAAACCAUCGAAAGAAAAGAAGAAUGAAAGGAAACACGUGCUCGCAGAUGCAUCGCUCGGCGGCUAUCUAUUUUUGCGAUACGUCAAGCUAUUCUCAGUUACGCUCCGGGUGCACAGAGUGCAUCGACUGUCAUCGUUGCUCUAGGAAUAAACCAUCCAUCACGUUGAACUGAAUUCGACGCGCACGUUAGAUCUCUAGAUAUUUUCCUAUGUCGCCCUCGAACGGUUUCCGUUUACAUCAUCGACAGAUUUUGAUAAAUUAUUAUUGGCUGCGUAAUUAAACGACAAACGUAGAUACUAUGUUUCUCUAGACUUCCUCUAUUUUCAUUCAAGAAUUUCAAGAGUUCUCUAAUUUCAUUUCAAUCUGUUUUCAAUCUGUGAGGAAAGUAGGAAAUUUUUAAUAUGAAGAUUUUUAGUGCUUGUUUAUCUCUAUAUAUAUGGUUGGCUAGAUUAAACCGCAAUAAGGAAAUAGAAAAGAUUUAUUACUAUAAACAUUGUAAAAAAAAAUCGUUAUAUAAUUUUACAAUCAGGUUAAUAUUAAUAUAUUCGUGGAACACCUUUCGAGGAUCGAUUCUAAAGGCCAAAACAAAUACAGAAGUUGGUAUGUAAAAAUGUCGGUUAAGGCUUAUUUAUUAAGCUAUAACCAGUUCAAGUUCGGGUUUGAUGAAACGAGACGGAAAUAGAGCGAAUCAAUUCUAUCUCCGUCGCGCUGCCUAUCUCUCUCUAUCUCGCUCCACGCAAACUUAAAUUAUAUUGCGUUUUAAUAUGCAUAAACAUAAACCUCAACCAAAUAUUUUUGUAUAACGAUUGUUGUGUUUAUCUUGGCUUGUAGAAUCGAUCUUCUAAAGAUGUCCAAGAAUAUAUUAACACCCUGUAUAAAAUAUUUUAUAUCCUCUGCGAUAGAAAUUUUAACAUUACUGUUUAGUUUCUACCACUAAAAAUAAAAUAUUACGUAUUUUAUCAUCAUAGAAAUGUAUUUUUAUAUAAUUGUAUAAAGAGAGAGAGAGAGAGAGAGAGAUAGAUAGAUAGAUAGAAGGAAGUUAUUUGGCCCAAAUAUCUGAUACUUCAAUAUAAUAUUUAUCUAAACUAGGUGAUUUUUACGAAUUAGAUUUGAACAAGAAAAUGAAUGUCAUUCACACUUGAGGCUCACACUCAUAUAUAUAAUAUAUUCCAUUUGCAAAAAUUGUUGGAGAUAAUGAUGGAUACUAAUUAUAUGACGUACAGUAUGUUACGUUAUAUUAUGGUAUUCAGAACAUAAAAAUAAUUAAUAAUCUUAUAGUUUUCUUUUCUAAUAUUGUAAUGUAGUGAAUAAAAGGAUUCUUAUUUCCUGAAUAAUAUUGGAUUGGAAUAACACGUUGAAAGUAUUCUAAAAAAACAAAAUCACAGAAAUGAAGUGUUUUAUUUUAACAAAAAUUGCUUAAAGAAUUUAUUGGGCAGAAUUUCUUUCUAUUUAUUUCUUCUUGGUAAAUAAUAAAUAAUCAUAUUUAUAAAAUUAAAUUAUUUCGUUAGUUGAUUCUUAAUAGAUCAAAAAUUUUCUGGAUUAAUAACAAUGAAAGUGUGUUAAUUUCUCAUCAUCAACCAUUGAAAUAUCGCUGAA